GGGGGGGCAUGUCCGUUGCGAGCAUGUAUAGUUGAAGGGUGUAGCCCAGAAAUUUCGGAAUGACGAAAAAAAAUUCCGAAUAUUUCAUCGCUUACGAAGCCACAAAGGUAUUUGCUAUCCGGAAAAUGAAUACGCAAUGGACCAUUUGCAUUAUAGACUAAAUUUUGAUAUAGGUUUCGUUGCGAAAUGUUGUAAAAUGGCCUUCGAAAUUUGCAUUUUUCAGUUAUUUUAAACUACAAACGGGAAAUUGAUGCCUCAACACCCGAUUCAGCUGUCGAUUUCCCGAUUUUACAAAUAUAGCAAUUUAUGCUGAAUUAGAAAGGAUACCAUUAGUUGGACAUAUACAAAUUUCUUUGCAUGUCGUUAAAUGCUGGCUACACAUUGAGGAUGCAAGUUUUUAUAUCUGCCUGGCGAUGCUGCUGGAGUGUGUAUGCAUAUAUUAAUCUUCAACCAGCAAUUUGUACGGAUUAUUUACUGAAAAUGUGCAAAUUGGAAUGUUGGAAAUCUUAGGUACUUUACAGUCCCUCAUGACACUCACUCAGGGAAAUUUUUGCCAUUAUUUGAAAAAUACACUUAAAUUAAUGAAGAGUUUAAGAAUUAUUUAAAAAAAAAACUGAAAGAAAAUGGAAAACUAAAAGACUUCAGCAAAAUGUUAAACACCGCCUGGCUGUUACAAAAUUAAGAAUUUCUGUGCAUAGAUUACCGACUCCAAAUCAGGAAGGUUUGCUA
Molecule: non-coding RNA, 729 nt
Organism: Paramuricea clavata
Lineage: Eukaryota; Metazoa; Cnidaria; Anthozoa; Malacalcyonacea; Plexauridae
Source: the annotation of a GenBank genome assembly